UGCCACCAUUACAAUGGCCUCUCAGCUUCU
This 30-nucleotide non-coding RNA is filed under the name Mus musculus (house mouse). The record is from RNAcentral. Lineage: Eukaryota; Metazoa; Chordata; Mammalia; Rodentia; Muridae.